ACAGAAUAUCAGCCAUAGUGUCCUUGUCCUUUGCUUUGAAGAGUGUAGUUAUUAGAAAUGAGGGAAUGCGUACUAAGUAACAUAACCUGCCUUGCUGUUCGCAGAUAUUCUUUUGAAUACCCAGUCUAUACAGGGAACUGGAUCUCAAGAGGCGAAACAGUCCCAGAAAAUACGAAGUAUUUAUUCAACAAGAUAACAAGGUCUACAACAAGAGAAUAAGGGUCUGGUGAUUGGAAUCCUUGUAUUUGGUUUCAUAAAGAUUGGCUGUUUGCUGGUACUCAGAAGUAUAGGGAACACCUAGAAAAGCUUUGAUGAACCAAUGAACCAAGCAAGUGUCCCUGCACAUAAAGUUAUGAUGGAUCGCAAAGCUUGGAGUGAUGUGCCAUAGCCAUUCACGACAUGGGAUGAACCGCUUACUCAGGAAGUGCUGCCGCUACAGCUGUGGGUCUGCUCUGGCCAAGAGGGUGGAAAGAAGAGGUUACUCACUAAUUCCCUUGGCCUUGCUUGGCUUGAGGAAGGCAGUGUGUCUCUCUGAAGCCUGCUGGUGCAGGCAUUACAUGUCGUGCAUUGAGAGGUCACUGGUACAACAGAAAGCAAAGAUUUCUGUGUAAAGUAAACCGCACAGUGACCUCUUCUCCCAUGGCACAGAGCAAAGGUACAGAAGUUCCUUUCAGUUCUUCCUGUUUCAACCGUUUUUGCAUUUCAGGGGGAAAAAUCAAGGGCAGCCUGUAUUUCUGCUUCAUUAGGAGAGGAAAUGGAAGAAGCUUUUUGGUUGCUCUGUCUGACCAGUUGCAGUGUCUCUAGAGUGGUAUUUGGCAGAGUUAAAACAGGACAAAGACAUAUUUCUGUUCCUUUUACACACAAAAGUAUGGCAAACCUUCUUUGUCCUCAUACCUGUGCCAAAGCUCUUGAACAACCAGAAAGGGUCAAACUGAAUGUGACUGUGUAUACAGAUAGACUUUUCAAGGGAUUUCAGGAACCUUAAUGUAUAAAUCUGAGAGAAAAGCAGAAUGCAGACAAACAAAAAUUGCAUUUGAAUGCCUUUUUUUUUCUAUAAUAGCUUCCAGUGAAUGCAGCUAUGCAAAUGCAGCCCAGAUAUAAUUUACAGUAGUGCCCAAAAGUGGCCAUAUUCCUUUAUUUUUCCUUUUUAUUUCUUCAUGGCUUCCACCCCAAACUUUCUGAAUAACCUAGAUGCAGGCUAAGUAGCCGUUUGCCUGGGGCAGUGACAGCUUUAGUACCUACAUUUCCUUUGAAAAGCUUUGCUGAGAAAAGCAAGCAGAAAUUCAGGGCAGUAGUCACUGAGCAGCAGCUGCUAAUUCCCCUGCCUCCCCCUGUACAGUCCCAACAGGAUAAACAAAUUAGGUCUAUAAGCCCUGUCUUCAGCUUCCCCUCCUCUUCCCUCCAAACAUUAUUGAUCUAUUCAACCUAAUAUCAGCUAUUUAACCCAAUUCUCUCCCCAGAUUUCUUAUAGCAAGGAACAACCUUAACAUAACACUCUUGGAGUGCGUAAUUUGAUUGUUCUUAUGCUUUUGAGAAGUACACAGCCAACCCAAAAUCCAGGUAAACAGCUUUCUUGAAGACCUUUAGAAUCCUAGAAAGGAAAAGGAAAAAAAAAAAAAAAGGUUUUUCUUUUUCAUUUAAAUUUCACACUAUUGACAUUCUGAUGUCUGUUGGCCUUUUGUUCUGCAGUCAGCCCUAUCAUUUCAUUCUCCAAGGCUGCACUCUAGAAAAUAUCACAAACUGUAAUAUUAGUUUAAAAAUACUGUUAAUACUGCUUGCUAAUCAGUCCCAAAUCUGUUAGUGUGUAUUUGUGACCAUAUAUUUGUACAAUAUAAGGCACUUGUGAAGAUUGAUUUUGUCUGUAUUACUCUAUACUGCUGCAUUCUUUAUGGUGUAUUACAUUUUUUAAGACUUUUAUCCAUAAACAUUCAUAUAAUACACUGUCAUUUCCAAAUAUCUUGAUUUUACAUUUCCCUUUGUUCUUCUUUGCAUGUACAAAAAAUAAAACUGCAGAAGUAAAAUAAAAGACCAGAGAAUAUGCUGAUGAAGAAA
This is a long non-coding RNA of Columba livia (rock pigeon), 2052 nucleotides long. RefSeq lists it as uncharacterized. Lineage: Eukaryota; Metazoa; Chordata; Aves; Columbiformes; Columbidae. The record is from RefSeq and is a predicted model, not a curated record. The transcript is spliced from 3 exons.